GGGCCUGUAGCUCACCUGGGAGAGCGCUACGUUCGCAACGUAGAGGUAGAGAGUUCGAGUCUCUUCAGGUCCACCA
Molecule: transfer RNA, 76 nt
Filed under: Clostridiales bacterium
Lineage: Bacteria; Bacillati; Bacillota; Clostridia; Eubacteriales
Description: tRNA-Ala
Rfam family: tRNA
About the family: Transfer RNA (tRNA) molecules are approximately 80 nucleotides in length. Their secondary structure includes four short double-helical elements and three loops (D, anti-codon, and T loops).
Source: RNAcentral